AACCCCCUUGGCGACCUCCCUCCAGGCCUCAUGAAGCUCAGGGCAGCCUCUGAGGUCACUCAGCUUGGUGGGACUUGGAGCGGAGUCUGCCUAGCCCCGGCCUCCAGCCGCCCCCAGGCUCAGCUCCGGGGCCAGCAGGAGCAGUAGGCCAUCGUCCCUGCCCUCACGCGAUUGCUGGCGGCGGUGGACAUCGGUCCAGAGCUCCAGAAUUCAACGAGACCGUUGCAUCGCGUGGCCUGAGCUCUGAAGAGCAGGUGGAUGGAUGGAUAAACGCUGGACGUCCAGACAAUGGAAUGUGACUUGGCGUUAAGAAGAAAUGAGCUAAGAAGCCACGAAAAGACUCGGAGGAACCUUAAAUGCACACGACUAAGUGGAAGAAACCAGUCUGAAAAGGCUACACACACACUGUGAUUCCAACUCUGGGCCAUUCUGGAAAAGACAGGACUCUGGAGCCGGGAGAAGGAUCAGAGGUACAUGAAAAGAUGCUCAACAUCGCUAAUCAUCAGAUAAAUGCAAACCAAAACCAC
Balaenoptera musculus (blue whale) is the source of this 527-nucleotide long non-coding RNA. RefSeq lists it as uncharacterized. Lineage: Eukaryota; Metazoa; Chordata; Mammalia; Artiodactyla; Balaenopteridae. The transcript has 3 exons. The record is from RefSeq and is a predicted model, not a curated record.